CAGCAGCCGCGGGAACACGGAGGGUGCAAGCGUUAAUCGGAAUUACUGGACGUAAAGCGUGCGUAGGCGGUUCGUUAAGUCUGUUGUGAAAGCCCCGGGCUCAACCUGGGAAUGGCAAUGGAUACUGGCGAGCUAGAGUGUGUCAGAGGAUGGUGGAAUUCCCGGUGUAGCGGUGAAAUGCGUAGAGAUGUGGAGGAACACCAGUGGCGAAGGCGACUCUCUGGUCUGUAACUGACGCUGAGGAGCGAAAGCGUGGGGAGCGGACAGGAUUAGAUACCCGGGUAGUCCCUGUCUCUUAUAA
Molecule: ribosomal RNA, 301 nt
Filed under: uncultured bacterium
Lineage: Bacteria
Description: partial 16S ribosomal RNA
Rfam family: Bacterial small subunit ribosomal RNA
Source: RNAcentral